GUGGGGAAUAUUGGACAAUGGGCGCAAGCCUGAUCCAGCCAUGCCGCGUGAGUGAUGAAGGCCCUAGGGUUGUAAAGCUCUUUCACCGGAGAAGAUAAUGACGGUAUCCGGAGAAGAAGCCCCGGCUAACUUCGUGCCAGCAGCCGCGGUAAUACGAAGGGGGCUAGCGUUGUUCGGAAUUACUGGGCGUAAAGCGCACGUAGGCGGACAUUUAAGUCAGGGGUGAAAUCCCGGAGCUCAACUCCGUAACUGCCUUUGAUACUGGGUGUCUGGAGUAUGGAAGAGGUGAGUGGAAUUCCGAGUGUAGAGGUGAAAUUCGUAGAUAUUCGGAGGAACACCAGUGGCGAAGGCGGCUCACUGGUCCAUUACUGACGCUGAGGUGCGAAAGCGUGGGGAGCAAACAGGAUUAGAAACCCUGGUAGUCC
This 425-nucleotide ribosomal RNA is filed under the name uncultured bacterium. Its description in RNAcentral is "partial 16S ribosomal RNA". It matches the Rfam family "Bacterial small subunit ribosomal RNA", at positions 354 to 796 of the family's 1533-position model. The record is from RNAcentral.